GCGGAGGGAUCAUUAUAGAGUUUUAUAACUCCCAACCCUUUGUGAACUUACCUUUGUUGCCUCGGCGGGACCUACCCGGUACCUGUCCCUUUUGGGACAGACUACCCUGUAGCCCGCCGGUGGAUAUUCAAAACUCGUUAUUUUAAUGUUAUCUGAGCGUCUUAUUUUAAUAAGUCAAAACUUUCAACAACGGAUCUCUUGGUUCUGGCAUCGAUGAAGAACGCAGCGAAAUGCGAUAAGUAAUGUGAAUUGCAGAAUUCAGUGAAUCAUCGAAUCUUUGAACGCACAUUGCGCCCAUUAGUAUUCUAGUGGGCAUGCCUGUUCGAGCGUCAUUUCAACCCUUAAGCCUAGCUUAGUGUUGGGAAUCUACUGUGGUAGUCUUCUACCUUGUAGUUCCUGAAAUGAAACGGCGGAUCUGCAGUAUCCUCUGAGCGUAGUAAAUUUUUAUCUCGCUUUUGUAAGGUGCUGUGGCUCUUGCCGCUAAACACCCAAUUUUUAAUGGUUGACCUCGGAUCAGGUAGGAAUACCCGCUGAACUUAAGCAUAU
Molecule: ribosomal RNA, 546 nt
Filed under: sordariomycete sp. 7423
Lineage: Eukaryota; Fungi; Ascomycota; Sordariomycetes
Description: eukaryotic LSU rRNA
Rfam family: 5.8S ribosomal RNA (bases 179-332)
Source: RNAcentral